Molecule: long non-coding RNA, 1710 nt
Filed under: Sus scrofa (pig)
Lineage: Eukaryota; Metazoa; Chordata; Mammalia; Artiodactyla; Suidae
Description: lncRNA (ENSSSCG00015002682.1)
Source: RNAcentral
AUGGAAGUUCCCAGGCUGGGGUCGAAUCGGAGCUACAGCUGCUGGCCUACACCACAACCACAGCAAUGCCAGAUCUGAGCUGCAUCUGUGACCUACACCACAUCUCAUGGCAAUGGUGAACCCUCAUCCUCAUGGUUCCCAGUCGGAUUUGUUAACCACUGCACCACGGCGGGAACUCCUUUUUUUUUCUUUUGAAUUUGUUGACCCCACAUUUCUCAGAAGCUUCCGUUUACAAAAUUUUCAACAAGCUCACAAACCUACCAGAUUUGCUUCCCAAAAUUCCAAGCUCUGGUUUUCUUUGAGAACAAGGCAAACUGUCUGGAUACACACUUAAAGUUAUAAACAUAGAGGGCACAAAGUCUGAGAGCUUCCAACACUUGGCUCAUCAGAAACACUAGAGAAAGAGAAGAAGGGAGGGAAGGGGUGUGUGUGUGUGUGUGUGUGUGUGUGUGAAGGACGUAAAUAUUCGUGUGAUUUCUCUUUCAUGCUAGAAAGCAUCUGGGAUUUGGUACAAGGCUUGAGGCUUGAGAUUGGAGUUGUGUUCUGAAGAAACGAGGGGGACUUGAGAGGGCUGAAAGAGGUAGCACGAUGAAUCUCAAUGUGACAUGUAAACAAAGGAAAUGAGUAAUUGAAAAUAUCCUGUCUGUGUAUUCAUUUUCUGCAUACACGGACAAAGGCCAGGGUAUGAAACAAAUAGUUUCGGCCUUACUGUUACUUUGCUCUAUUAAAAAAAAAAAAAGUAACAUAGAAGUAUUUCCAUAAAUUUCAUAAAAUUCUAUUCAAGAAGGAAAAAUACCAUACUGUUUUUGUCCACAUUGGAAAAUUCCUUUUCAAAUAGUUUGGGUAAAUUAUUGGGAGACGUGUCAGAGGAUUAAGCUUUCCUGGUUAAACCUAGAAAGUAAAACCUCAUAAAAUGAUGCCUUUGGAGCAGAUUUUGGAGUCAAACAGUUCGAGACAAAUAUUUCAGUGUCCCAUUAUAAGAAUGAUUUCUUGACUUUUAGGCUUGAGGUUUUCCUUUUCUGGGAGAACUGCCCACAUCGGCCUUCUCCUGCCCUUCCCCAGGAUGUGCAGACACAGUGAACUAAGCUCUUCCUGCUAUAAAAAAGACUGUCCAGAGCAAGACUGCCCAUCAGAAAUAGAGCGCCCACUAUGAGUAUAAUUUUCAAUGUUUUAGUAGCCACAUUUAAAAAAGUAAACACAGGAAUUCCCUGGUGGUGCAGUGGGUUGGGGAUCUGGCAUUGUCACUGCUGUGGCAUGGGUUCAGUCCCUGGCCCAGGAUCUUCCACAUGCUGUAGGUGUGGUCAAAAAAAGUAAAAGUAAAUAGAUGAAAUUAACUUUAUUUAUAUAUUUUAUUUAACUCAAUAUAUCCAAAAUACUAUUAAGUUAACAUGUUGAAAGCAGCUCUCUGGCCCCUUUCCUGUUUGGCUUCUUCUGUUCCCCUCUAACCUUUAAAGAACCUAAUUAACCUGUUGAUUCUUUUCCUAGAUAAAAAGAAGCAAGAAUAAAGAAUUAAGCAGUAUAAAAAUGACUAGCUCUCUUCCCCCAGCAUCUCCCUUAGCAAUCCUGCAGGCAGAUCAUGGAGGUAAGGUAAUCUGUAGAGUCAACCGGUCUACAUGCAACAAGUAAAGUGGCAAAUUUAAUAAUGUAUCUAAAAGAUGCACAGCCAUAUAUAUGUCUAAUUCUACCUUAACUUUUUCCAACCUUUUCUGU